UCCGUCCUUUGAAUGAUUCUUGGUGUCAAUUAUGUUAUGUCCAUCCAUCAUCAAGGCAACCCUUUUGGCACAUCACAGAAGAAGUUGUCUCUGAAAUUCUAAUUUCUAUGACCAAUUUGACCCUUUUCUGAUUCAUAUACCUUCAUUAGUCGUGAGUGAAUAGAAAACAAUCAGUCAGGGUAAUAUGUCACUGUCUACUGUUUUUCUUUGAAUAUAAAUUAUUUAUACUUUAUAUAUAAUAUCACAUCUGGAUAGCUACAGCAGGUAAACACUUAACAGUAUUUCAACUCUAUAACGGGAGAUGGAUCUGUAAAAAUUUAAAUUUACAGGGUGGUAUAUAUUUUUCACACCCCCUGGUAAGAGGUGAAAUAGAUGAAAUAUAGAAAAUGAAAAAGCAGAAUUAUAUUUUAGUAGUCAUAUUCAAAUUUUUUUAUAAUUAUUGAUAAUUUAAAGCUUAAAUUUUUAUACAGACGUAGAGUAUUUUAAAAUUAAAUUCAUCUUUAUUUUAAUUAGAAAUUUUGGAAAAAUAUAUAACAAACUCCAUCUGGUUACAAAAUCAUUGAUUAAAAAAUUAUUUGAAAUAAUCAAUAUAUAAACAUAACUAUAUCUUGUAAUGUAUAACAAAUAAACUCAUAUCUAAAUUUUAAUAAUUAUUUUAAUUUCAUUUUUAAUUGUUUCUUCUCAUAUUAUUUUGUGUUUUUUAUUUUAUAUAUAUAUAUAUAUAUAUAUAUAUAUAUAUAUAUAAUUAUUCUAAAAGUAACUCUUCAUGUUCAUUAUUUAUUUUUUUGAAAUCUAAUAAUUAUAAUAAAUAAUUAUUUUUAUUCACUAGAUUUCAAGAAAAUGAAUAAUAAAGAUAAUUUUUUUUUAAGAAAGAUGAGUUUUGUAUUACCACCAACAAAUACUGUACAUGAAAAAUUAUGAGGGCAUACCUUCUACCUACAAUUCAAAAAUAAUCUAAAAAGUUAUCCUAUAUACUUGCGACUUGCAAGUCAUAUAGAAGUGUUUGAAUAAUUUUAUAACUACAUGACUAAAGUGAAUAUGUCUUACUGCAACACAAUUGUAUAUAGAAAAUUGUGUAUAUUGUCUUUUGACAUUAAGACCAGCUUUCAGUGUUUGAAUAAUUUUAAAACUACACAAGCCAGGUGAUGAUAUUCUUCUUUUCUUAAUACAACACAAUUUCUAACAUGCCAAUAAAAUAUAUAGAAGUGCAAAAAGCAACAACUCUUAUAUACAAAACAGUGGAAUUUUCUUCCUUCAACCAAUUAUAUACAAACUGUUGCGCCAUGCAAUGAAAUCCAAGAAAUGAAAUAUCAUACCUAUUCGCUGCAUUACUGUGCUAUCCAAGAAAUCCAAGAACAUAACUAAACUUUUGGUUCUCCU
This 1380-nucleotide long non-coding RNA is filed under the name Glycine max (soybean). Its description in RNAcentral is "long non-coding RNA (GMAX_LNC003717)". Lineage: Eukaryota; Viridiplantae; Streptophyta; Magnoliopsida; Fabales; Fabaceae. The record is from RNAcentral.